GGACCGCAGCCUUAAAGACGCCGCGGAGGACCCUCUCGCUCCAGCCCCGGGAGGCGGAUCUGGCGCCCGGCGGGCCGAGGGGCUGGGGCGUGGGAGUUGCGCGCGGAGGCGGGAAUGUGUGCGCGGCGGCACGCGCGGGCGCCCGUGUGCAGACGCCCGAAGGACCGGCUCGGGGCCGGUGCCAGAGACUGUCCUACUGCGCGGGUGCCGUGUUCUCUCCUCCGGGGGACGGGGAAUUGCUCUUUCCGCCUCCAGCAGUCUCAGGGCGCAGGAACCCCGCCGUCUCCAGCGGCCUCGGCCGGGCGCUGCCGGGGGCAAGGGACCGCCGGGAGAGGGACGCGGGGAGGGACCGCGCCGCAGGUUCCUGGUGAAGGGUUUCUUGGCCCUCCCGCCUCUUCGGAUGGCGGGGAAGCGUCUCUCUCCCUCCUGUCCCCACCCUCCAGCUCCAAACACAUUCCUAUUCAUGCCACUUCCUCUCUGGGAUUGUGAGAAAAAUUGACGAGGCGAUGUUUGUGCAAUCAGACAAUCAGAGCGCCUGAGAAAUUCUCUUCAGACCAGUUUUUCUCUCCUUACAAAGCGUCUGUUCGUUCAUAGGCAGAGCAUUGCGAUGUCUUUAUAUCUAAAGGGCAGAAGGCUUGAUCAUCGCUUAGCUAAGGGGCUGGGGACAUAGAGCAAACAUUUCUCUAAAGGACUCGGUGCUGUUUACUGGUCCUACAUUUCUAGUGUUGCAUUCCCUGACUAGCCAGCUUUCCUCUCUCUCAAUACCAUUUCCAAGCUACCUCUUUUUACCGGGGAAAGCAAUUGAACUAAUUUUACUACUCUAAAAACAUCAUGCAGCCAAGUAGAGUUACAAAUGAAUGAGCUUAUUAUAAGGUUUCGGGCAAAGAGAUGGGGAGGGAAGUUAUAAACAGAAAGCUGCGUGUGUAUGUGUGUAAAAUUAUAGGGAGACACUAAUAUAUGUCUGUUGUACACAACAUUCCAUUUCUGUUGAGGCAACUGAAAGAAAUCACAAAGAUGCUCAAACACAGUUUUCGCCAAGAGCCUGAGGUGGGAUUUUCCCAAAGAGUUCCAUUCCUGAAAGUCAUCAUCAGGAGAGGGCAGGCCCUGAGGAGUGAAAGGAAAGGAUCUAGUGGGAGAUUAUGUGAAAUGGGAUGGGGCUGGAGUCCUUUCACAGUUAGAGGGGGCAAGGCUGAAACACGUCUGCCCCAUGGAAGAUGCCAGCUGUCCUCAAGGACCUGGCUCUACCAGUAUUUUGAAAAUUGUGCCUGUGAUCCAGAAGUAUGGCGAAGACUGGGAAAUUCCAAGUAAUUCCAACUCCUUUGAGUCUUUGGACAAUGAAUUCAGUCAUUCAAGAGCAACUUCAAAGAAGUUAUUAAAAUGCACUAAGUUCUUUCUGAGAAGUUCUUGUGCCAUUUUUUUUCACUGUGUAAGAUACUUUUUCCUUUGUGCUUAAAACUCAGUAUUCACUUACAACUUCAAAAAUGACAGGUACUAAGAGACAUUUAAGAAGAAAUUCAGGGUUUUAGGCAUCUUAACUUAUAGAAAAAUAGCCACGGAGGGGUCAGUCUUUUUCCAUGCAUACAUUGACCUUCGGAUGCCCAAAUGAGUCACCUUGACUUGCAAUUAGUUGAACUAACACGACAGUUCCUCUUCCUAUAAAUCCACUUGCUCCACCCAGGACAUGAUUUACACUUGAAGUGAGCUCACCAC
This is a long non-coding RNA of Acinonyx jubatus (cheetah), 1710 nucleotides long. RefSeq lists it as uncharacterized. The record is from RefSeq and is a predicted model, not a curated record. NCBI's taxonomy places the organism in Eukaryota, Metazoa, Chordata, Mammalia, Carnivora, Felidae. The transcript is spliced from 3 exons.